UUUGUCGCGUUGUUCGUGAAAACUCACAGCUUAACUGUGGGCGUGCGGGCGAUACGGGCAGACUAGAGUACUGCAGGGGAGACUGGAAUUCCUGGUGUAGCGGUGGAAUGCGCAGAUAUCAGGAGGAACACCGGUGGCGAAGGCGGGUCUCUGGGCAGUAACUGACGCUGAGGAGCGAAAGCGUGGGGAGCGAACAGGAUUAGAUACCCUGGUAGUCCACGCCGUAAACGGUGGGUACUAGGUGUGGGUUUCCUUCCUUGGGAUCCGUGCCGUAGCUAACGCAUUAAGUACCCCGCCUGGGGAGUACGGCCGCAAGGCUAAAACUCAAAGAAAUUGACGGGGGCCCGCACAAGCGGCGGAGCAUGUGGAUUAAUUCGAUGCAACGCGAAGAACCUUACCUGGGUUUGACAUGCACAGGACGCCAGUAGAGAUAUUGGUUCCCUUGUGGCCUGUGUGCAGGUGGUGCAUGGCUGUCGUCAGCUCGUGUCGUGAGAUGUUGGGUUAAGUCCCGCAACGAGCGCAACCCUUGUCUCAUGUUGCCAGCACGUAAUGGUGGGGACUCGUGAGAGACUGCCGGGGUCAACUCGGAGGAAGGUGGGGAUGACGUCAAGUCAUCAUGCCCCUUAUGUCCAGGGCUUCACACAUGCUACAAUGGCCGGUACAAAGGGCUGCGAUGCCGUGAGGUGGAGCGAAUCCUUUCAAAGCCGGUCUCAGUUCGGAUCGGGGUCUGCAACUCGACCCCGUGAAGUCGGAGUCGCUAGUAAUCGCAGAUCAGCAACGCUGCGGUGAAUACGUUCCCGGGCCUUGUACACACCGCCCGUCACGUCAUGAAAGUCGGUAACACCCGAAGCCGGUGGCCUAACCCCUUGUGGGAGGGAGCCGUCGAAGGUGGGAUCGGCGA
RNAcentral lists this ribosomal RNA (901 nucleotides) under Mycobacterium sp. Site1-10A. Its description in RNAcentral is "bacterial SSU rRNA". It matches the Rfam family "Bacterial small subunit ribosomal RNA", at positions 579 to 1474 of the family's 1533-position model. Lineage: Bacteria; Bacillati; Actinomycetota; Actinomycetes; Mycobacteriales; Mycobacteriaceae. The record is from RNAcentral.